This 384-nucleotide ribosomal RNA is filed under the name Mantoniella sp. RNAcentral's name for it is "partial small subunit ribosomal RNA". It matches the Rfam family "Eukaryotic small subunit ribosomal RNA", at positions 582 to 975 of the family's 1831-position model. The record is from RNAcentral. Lineage: Eukaryota; Viridiplantae; Chlorophyta; Mamiellophyceae; Mamiellales; Mamiellaceae.
AUUCCAGCUCCAAUAGCGUAUAUUUAAGUUGUUGCAGUUAAAAAGCUCGUAGUUGGAUUUCGGUUGAGAGCGGCCGGUCCGCCGUUUGGUGUGCACUGGCUGGUCUCAACUUCCUGCGGAGGACGCGCUCUGGGCUUAACGGUCUGGACGUGGAGUCCGCGUGGUUACUUUGAAAAAAUUAGAGUGUUCAAAGCGGGCUUACGCUUGAAUAUUUCAGCAUGGAAUAACACUAUAGGACUCCUGUCCUAUUUCGUUGGUCUCGGGACGGGAGUAAUGAUUAAGAGGAACAGUUGGGGGCAUUCGUAUUUCAUUGUCAGAGGUGAAAUUCUUGGAUUUAUGAAAGACGAACUUCUGCGAAAGCAUUUGCCAAGGAUGUUUUCAUUA